RNAcentral lists this ribosomal RNA (253 nucleotides) under uncultured bacterium. RNAcentral's name for it is "partial 16S ribosomal RNA". It matches the Rfam family "Bacterial small subunit ribosomal RNA", at positions 524 to 776 of the family's 1533-position model. The record is from RNAcentral.
UACGUAGGGGGCAAGCGUUGUCCGGAAUUAUUGGGCGUAAAGAGCGUGUAGGCGGCCAGGUAGGUCUGCUGUGAAAACUCGAGGCUUAACCUCGAGAUGUCGGUGGAAACCAUCUGGCUAGAGUCCGGAAGAGGAGAGUGGAAUUCCUGGUGUAGCGGUGAAAUGCGCAGAUAUCAGGAAGAACACCCGUGGCGAAGGCGGCUCUCUGGGACGGUACUGACGCUGAGACGCGAAAGCGUGGGGAGCGAACAGG